Pseudophryne corroboree (corroboree frog) is the source of this 258-nucleotide long non-coding RNA. RefSeq lists it as uncharacterized. The record is from RefSeq and is a predicted model, not a curated record. The transcript has 2 exons. Lineage: Eukaryota; Metazoa; Chordata; Amphibia; Anura; Myobatrachidae.
CCAGGCAUGUCACAAGGAGAACCCUGUACCCUACAAUAUGCCCCUCCACAUCACCCUGGAUGUGGCGGAUACAAUUAUUAAGAGAGAAGUUUUGUGAUGUAACCCUAGAGCAAUGAAAACAAAACAGCUCUGUGUGAUGAUAAAAGACAAGGCUGGAAAACCUUGAAGAUCCCUAGAAAGAAAAUGCAGUAUUUAGAAAACAUACAGAAGGCCAUGUACAAUCCAGUAAAUGAUAGUCAUCCGAAGACAGACAUCCCA